GGACUUGAUUGUGGGGAAAAAUCCACAGUUAAGUGUGCUUGAGCUAGAGGAGUCUUAGGAUGGGUGACCUCUUGGGAAGUCCUAGUUACCAGGUGCA
This is a non-coding RNA of Picea glauca (white spruce), 97 nucleotides long. NCBI's taxonomy places the organism in Eukaryota, Viridiplantae, Streptophyta, Pinopsida, Pinales, Pinaceae. The record is from Rfam.